RNAcentral lists this long non-coding RNA (1512 nucleotides) under Cercocebus atys (sooty mangabey). Its description in RNAcentral is "lncRNA (ENSCATG00000045568.1)". The record is from RNAcentral. Lineage: Eukaryota; Metazoa; Chordata; Mammalia; Primates; Cercopithecidae.
CCCAGUGCUGACCAGCAGGGGGCACACGGCAGAAAAGAGGAAGCCACAGCAGCCCCAGUGCUGACCAGCAGGGGGCACACGGCGGAGGCGCGGAAGCCACAGCAGCCCCAGUGCUGACCAGCAGGGGGCACACGGCAGAGAAGAGGAAGCCACAGCAGCCCCAGUGCUGACCAGCAGGGGGCACACGGCAGAGGCGUGGAAGCCACAGCAGCCCCAGUGCUGACCAGCAGGGGGCACACGGCGGAGGCGCGGAAGCCACAGCAGCCCCAGUGCUGACCAGCAGGGGGCACAGGGCAGAGACGUGGAAGCCACAGCAGCCCCAGUGCUGACCAGCAGGGGGCACACGUGGAGAAGAGGAAGCCGCAGCAGAGCCAGUGCUGACCAGCAGGCGGCCCACGGCAGAGAAGAGGAAAGGGCAGCACCCCAGUGCUGAGCAGCAGGGGGCACAGGGUGGAGACGCGGAAGCCGCAGCAGCCCCAGUGCUGACCAGCAGGGGGCCGACCGCGGAGGCGUGGAAGCCGCAGCAGCCCCAGUGCUGACCAGCAGGGGGCACAUGGCGGCGGCGUGGAAGCCUCAGCAGCCCCAGUGCUGACCAGCAGGGGGCCCACCGCGGAGGCGUGGAAGCCGUAGCAGCCCCAGUGCUGACCAGCAGGGGGCCCACUGUGGAGGCGUGGAAGCCUCAGCAGCCCCAGUGCUGACCAGCAGAGGGCACAUGGCGGAGACGUGGAAGCCUCAGCAGCCCCAGUGCUGACCAGCAGGGGGCACACGGCAGAGAAGAGGAAGCCACAGCAGCCCCAGUGCUGACCAGCAGGGGGCACACGGCAGAGANNNNNNNNNNNNNNNNNNNNNNNNNNNNNNNNNNNNNNNNNNNNNNNNNNGGGCGGCACGAGGCCCAUGACAGCUCAUGCACUGCUGGAGUCUGGGAAGUGCCCUUGAUGCUGGGACGGAAUGGGGAGCAAGACAGGUUCUGUCCUCGGAGGCCGCCGUCCUGGGACACGCCAGCAGGUCAGGGCAAGUGCAUGAAGGCCGUGGGCUUCGGACUUUAUCGGCGACAACCGGGACCGCUGGAGGAUAUUCGGGCCCCCUUUCCGGCAGCCCCAUGUGAGGAGACAGACAAAGGGAGAGAUCUCAGGGUGGACAACACUGGCCUUCAGCUCACGCGUUUCUGGUUCAGCGGUGCACGGUGAACGGGCUUCUCCUGAUGGCUGACGGCAGCCACACAAGGUAAAAGCAGGCGAACAUUCUCAGGACAUCAUGUAAGAUGCCAAAGACGUCGGUUCUUUGUUCAACUCUCUGAAUCUGCUGAGCCAGCUGGUGACAACGGAGAAAAGCGUCACACAAAGCAGAAAGCGUCACACAAAGGCCCAGGCGGGUUUAGCGGCUCCUGCAGGGUGGCCCAGGGGCCCUGGCACCCCCUCCCUGGGCAGCAGUCACCAUCUUCGGUUUCAGGGUUCCCUUUCAGAGGUGAGGGCUCCCGUUUCGGGUGAUGACACAGACGGCCUUCUUCUUCCA